This 518-nucleotide ribosomal RNA is filed under the name uncultured bacterium. RNAcentral's name for it is "bacterial SSU rRNA". It matches the Rfam family "Bacterial small subunit ribosomal RNA", at positions 8 to 518 of the family's 1533-position model. The record is from RNAcentral.
AGAGUUUGAUUAUGGCUCAGGAUGAACGCUAGCGACAGGCCUAACACAUGCAAGUCGAGGGGCAGCGCGGGGAAAGCUUGCUUUCCUGGCGGCGACCGGCGCACGGGUGCGUAACAGGUGUGCAAUCUGUCCAUAGUCGGGGGAUAGCCCGGCGAAAGCUGAAUUAAUACUCCAUGUGAAUCGAAGCCGCAUGACUUUGAUUUGAAACGCAAGGACUAUGGGUGAGCACGCUUCUGAUUAGGUAGUUGGUGGGGUAACGGCCCACCAAGCCGACGAUCAGUAGGGGUUCUGAGAGGAAGGUCCCCCCACAUUGGAACUGAGACACGGUCCAAACUCCUACGGGAGGCAGCAGUGAGGAAUAUUGGUCAAUGGGCGAGAGCCUGAACCAGCCAAGUCGCGUGAAGGAUGAAGGUUCUAUGGAUUGUAAACUUCUUUUGUCCGAGGGUAAAGGAGUCCACGUGUGGAUUUUUGCAAGUAUCGGACGAAUAAGCAUCGGCUAACUCCGUGCCAGCCGCCGC